CCUACGGGAGGCAGCAGUGGGGAAUAUUGCACAAUGGGGGAAACCCUGAUGCAGCGACGCCGCGUGAGUGAAGAAGUAAUUCGUUACGUAAAGCUCUAUCAGCAGGGAAGAAACACUGACCUUACGGUCAGCAGACGGUACCUGAGUAAGGAGCCACGGCUAACUACGUGCCAGCAGCCGCGGUAAUCCGUAGGGGGCAAGCGUUAUCCGGAUUUACUGGGUGUAAGGGGAGCGUAGACGGUGCGCCAAGUCUGGAGUGAAAUGCCGCAGCUUAACUGCGGAACUGCUUUGGAUACUGGCGAACUAGAGUGCGGGAGGGGUAAGCGGAAUUCCUAGUGUAGCGGUGAAAUGCGUAGAUAUUAGGAGGAACACCGGUGGCGAAGGCGGCUUACUGGACCGUAACUGACGUUGAGGCUCGAAAGCGUGGGGAGCAAACAGGAUUAGAUACCCUUGUAGUC
This 458-nucleotide ribosomal RNA is filed under the name uncultured bacterium. RNAcentral describes it as "partial 16S ribosomal RNA". It matches the Rfam family "Bacterial small subunit ribosomal RNA", at positions 338 to 795 of the family's 1533-position model. The record is from RNAcentral.